CUAUGAAGACCUGGAAAAUAUUCUGAAAAACAUAGGGUUAAGACUGCAACUGAAGGAAAACUUGGUGUUGAUGAAAAGUUUGCCACUUGAUGCUGCUGGAAAGUUGUAUAAAUGUAAGUUGCUGAAUGGAACAAGGUCUCUCAAAGGAGUGAAGCUUAGUGUUGAUAAGCUAGAACCCUUCAUAGAACAUACGGGCUUUGAGCUUGAGGAAGAGGAAUACCAAGAUCUGAAAAAC
This 235-nucleotide long non-coding RNA is filed under the name Homo sapiens (human). Its description in RNAcentral is "HSALNT0243571". Lineage: Eukaryota; Metazoa; Chordata; Mammalia; Primates; Hominidae. The record is from RNAcentral.